CCUACGGGUGGCAGCAGUGAGGAAUAUUGGUCAAUGGUCGGGAGACUGAACCAGCCAAGCCGCGUGAGGGAUGAAGGUACAGAGUAUCGUAAACCUCUUUUGUCAGGGAACAAAGGCGGGGACGCGUCCCCGGAUGAGUGUACCUGACGAAAAAGCAUCGGCUAACUCCGUGCCAGCAGCCGCGGUAAUACGGGGGGUGCGUGCGUUAUCCGGAUUUAUUGGGGGUAAGGGGGGGGCAGCCGGUCUGUUAAGUCCGCGGUCAAAGCCCGGGGCUCAACCCCGGACCGGCUGUUGAAACUGGCAGUCUCGAGUUGGAGAGAAGUAUGCGGAAUGCGCGGUGUAGCGGUGAAAUGCAUAGAUAUCGCGCAGAACUCCGAUGGCGAAGGCAGCAUGCCGGAUCGAAACUGACGCUGAGGCACGAAAGCGUGGGUAUCGAACAGGAUUAGAUACCCGAGUAGUC
This 460-nucleotide ribosomal RNA is filed under the name uncultured bacterium. Its description in RNAcentral is "partial 16S ribosomal RNA". It matches the Rfam family "Bacterial small subunit ribosomal RNA", at positions 338 to 795 of the family's 1533-position model. The record is from RNAcentral.